GGAAUCUGGUGUGUUUCUAUCCAAUAUAGAUGCCUCCUCUGACUCCUUGGUGGAUUUAGGAAAACAGGUCCUAGAACAAUUACAAAACAGACUGGAACAGGCUUGCCAGCAACAGCCGUUGGACCUUGACAAUGUGGAGUUUAUCACUACAAGUGCAAUGACUCUGAUACUCUCCCUUUCAGCUCAUCUAAACUUUCCACUAUCGGUACUUGAAGGUCUGGAACAGCUUAUUGCCCUCAUUCAAUCUGAAAUGGACAGGAGGCGGCCAGCUAUUAUAGUCGACAGGAUAGCUAGUGCACGGGGACGCCCCAGGCUGAGCAUUUCUAACGACCAUCUUCAAGACCUAAUUGAGAUGGACCUUUCUGUGUCUU
Long non-coding RNA from Melanotaenia boesemani (Boeseman's rainbowfish), 371 nucleotides. RefSeq lists it as uncharacterized. Lineage: Eukaryota; Metazoa; Chordata; Actinopteri; Atheriniformes; Melanotaeniidae. The transcript has 3 exons. The record is from RefSeq and is a predicted model, not a curated record.